UCCGUAGGGGUAUCCUGCGGAGGGAUCAUUACACAACAAAAAUAUGAGGGUGUGGUUUGCUGGCAACAGCGUCCGCCCCAAGUAUUUUUCACCCAUGUCUUUUGCGCACUUUUUGUUUCCUGGGCGAGUUCGCUCGCCACCAGGACCCAACCAUAAACCUUUUUUUAUGCAGUUGCAAUCAGCGUCAGUAUAAUAAUUCAAUUUAUUAAAACUUUCAACAACGGAUCUCUUGGUUCUGGCAUCGAUGAAGAACGCAGCGAAAUGCGAUACGUAGUGUGAAUUGCAGAAUUCAGUGAAUCAUCGAAUCUUUGAACGCACAUUGCGCCCUUUGGUAUUCCAAAGGGCAUGCCUGUUCGAGCGUCAUUUGUACCCUCAAGCUUUGCUUGGUGUUGGGCGUCUUUUUGUCUCUCCCCUUGUUGGGGGAGACUCGCCUUAAAACGAUUGGCAGCCGACCUACUGGUUUUCGGAGCGCAGCACAAAUUUGCGCCUUCCAAUCCACGGGGCGGCAUCCAGCAAGCCUUUGUUUUCUAUAACAAAUCCACAUUUUGACCUCGGAUCAGGUAGGGAUACCCGCUGAACUUAAGCAUAUCAAUAA
Molecule: ribosomal RNA, 595 nt
Filed under: Exserohilum rostratum
Lineage: Eukaryota; Fungi; Ascomycota; Dothideomycetes; Pleosporales; Pleosporaceae
Description: eukaryotic LSU rRNA
Rfam family: 5.8S ribosomal RNA (bases 210-363)
Source: RNAcentral